UCUCUCUUUUUCUCGCUGUCACCUCCACACACCUACUAACACACAUGCUGUCACACAGUACAAAAGAACAUUAAGUUGCACAAGUCAGUUUCCUACCAUUGUACUGGCUGCACAAACUUAAUCUUCUGCUCACAACCUGGACUGACUGAUGCUGCUCAAUAAUCUUUGACAGGAAACCAGCAACGCUGCGAGCGGUCUGCCAGCUUCCUCUCAGCCGAGACAACGCAGUACGACUUCUCAUACACAGUCAAACAAGAUAAAGACAAUACUUCCUGUCACAUCUCCAGGACCUUGAAUAUUCUUUUACAAAUGGUUCUCCUUCUGAUGAACCAUUAACAACUGCUUUGACACAAAAGGAGUUUGACUGCAAAAUUCCCCAAGCCAGAAGGAUUUUUCUACUCCAGAAAGAAAAGUAUAAGGAGGCAUGGCUGAAGUCACCUACAAAACGUCCACCCCGACUGUGCUGAUCCUUUUUUUCUGCCUAUUAUGCUUAAUAGUAUUGCUGGUCCUCUUGUACAAGAAGUUGAACAGGGACGCCAAUGGAGAAUAUACUGUGCGACGCAUGGUGUAUAAGGAUGGAGGGGUCAGGGAUCGUGUGAGAGGGACAGCGUUAGCUCUGGGGACACGUUUUGGGGUCCAACUGUGGCCUCAACGUGAUGAUGACGGAGAAGAAAUGCAGGAAGUCCAAGUUGAGGAGGGACAGGUGGAGGACGGUGGUAGCCAGGAGAGUGACAGCGAGGGAGAUGAGGAGGACGAGGAGGAAAAUGACGAGGAGCAGCGUAGUAUGGCGAAGGAAAAAGAUGGUGACACCUCAGAUGAUAACUCAAGUGUGGAGAGUUCUGAAGCAGAGGAGCCAGCCAGGCUAACGGGUCAGUCAACGGCAAAGGGAGAGAUAGAGGAGAAAGGGGAUGAUGGGGAAGGUAAAGGGGAAGCAAGUGGAGGGGCUGGAUUGUUGGUAGAUCUAAAGCAGUUCUCUGGAAGUGCAAUCUGGUCUGAGGAAGAGGGAGGUGAGGGUAAGAACCGUGAUAUCACUGCACUGUGAGAACAUAAUUUAAAACAUUUAAUACAAGAGAGGCUUGGGAAAUUGUCCUUAGUAAUGUCCCAUAAUUAUCUGGUUAAAUAUAUUUUCUAUACAUUUUAUUACCCAACAUAUAGGUUCUCUUUUUUACUAGGGAACAUCUCUUGGUUCCCUCUAAAAACAUCCACACAAGUGUUUAAUAGCUCAAAACCAAUACAUUCCACCUAAAAAGAUAUUGUAUACAUUGUCCUGAUGUGACUUACUUUUGAGGCAUCAGAUAGUAUAAAAGUUUACCUUUUUAUAAAGUAAAACUAGUCUGAAACGUUGUAUUAUUGUGUCAGCCAAUAGCAUGCUGUGUAUUUGUUUAUGCUUUUUGUAUUGCUUUAAAUGUUUUUUCCUGAUUUUCAAAAAAAUUAAAAACAGAAACCCAUAA
Molecule: RNA transcript, 1451 nt
Organism: Gymnodraco acuticeps
Lineage: Eukaryota; Metazoa; Chordata; Actinopteri; Perciformes; Bathydraconidae
Gene name: nucleoplasmin-like protein ANO39
Exons: 4
Source: RefSeq, a predicted model, not a curated record